CGGGACACGUGGUAUCCUGUCUGAAUAUGGGGGGACCAUCCUCCAAGGCUAAAUACUCCUGACUGACCGAUAGUGAACCAGUACCGUGAGGGAAAGGCGAAAAGAACCCCGGCGAGGGGAGUGAAAAAGAACCUGAAACCGUGUACGUACAAGCAGUGGGAGCACGCUUAGGCGUGUGACUGCGUACCUUUUGUAUAAUGGGUCAGCGACUUAUAUUCUGUAGCAAGGUUAACCGAAUAGGGGAGCCGAAGGGAAACCGAGUCUUAACUGGGCGUUAAGUUGCAGGGUAUAGACCCGAAACCCGGUGAUCUAGCCAUGGGCAGGUUGAAGGUUGGGUAACACUAACUGGAGGACCGAACCGACUAAUGUUGAAAAAUUAGCGGAUGACUUGUGGCUGGGGGUGAAAGGCCAAUCAAACCGGGAGAUAGCUGGUUCUCCCCGAAAGCUAUUUAGGUAGCGCCUCGUGAAUUCAUCUCCGGGGGUAGAGCACUGUUUCGGCAAGGGGGUCAUCCCGACUUACCAACCCGAUGCAAACUGCGAAUACCGGAGAAUGUUAUCACGGGAGACACACGGCGGGUGCUAACGUCCGUCGUGAAGAGGGAAACAACCCAGACCGCCAGCUAAGGUCCCAAAGUCAUGGUUAAGUGGGAAACGAUGUGGGAAGGCCCAGACAGCCAGGAUGUUGGCUUAGAAGCAGCCAUCAUUUAAAGAAAGCGUAAUAGCUCACUGGUCGAGUCGGCCUGCGCGGAAGAUGUAACGGGGCUAAACCAUGCACCGAAGCUGCGGCAGCGACGCUGAUGCGUUGUUGGGUAGGGGAGCGUUCUGUAAGCCUGUGAAGGUGUGCUGUGAGGCAUGCUGGAGGUAUCAGAAGUGCGAAUGCUGACAUAAGUAACGAUAAAGCGGGUGAAAAGCCCGCUCGCCGGAAGACCAAGGGUUCCUGUCCAACGUUAAUCGGGGCAGGGUGAGUCGACCCCUAAGGCGAGGCCGAAAGGCGUAGUCGAUGGGAAACAGGUUAAUAUUCCUGUACUUGGUGUUACUGCGAAGGGGGGACGGAGAAGGCUAUGUUGGCCGGGCGACGGUUGUCCCGGUUUAAGCGUGUAGGCUGGUUUUCCAGGCAAAUCCGGAAAAUCAAGGCUGAGGCGUGAUGACGAGGCACUACGGUGCUGAAGCAACAAAUGCCCUGCUUCCAGGAAAAGCCUCUAAGCAUCAGGUAACAUCAAAUCGUACCCCAAACCGACACAGGUGGUCAGGUAGAGAAUACCAAGGCGCUUGAGAGAACUCGGGUGAAGGAACUAGGCAAAAUGGUGCCGUAACUUCGGGAGAAGGCACGCUGAUAUGUAGGUGAAGCGACUUGCUCGUGGAGCUGAAAUCAGUCGAAGAUACCAGCUGGCUGCAACUGUUUAUUAAAAACACAGCACUGUGCAAACACGAAAGUGGACGUAUACGGUGUGACGCCUGCCCGGUGCCGGAAGGUUAAUUGAUGGGGUCAGCGCAAGCGAAGCUCUUGAUCGAAGCCCCGGUAAACGGCGGCCGUAACUAUAACGGUCCUAAGGUAGCGAAAUUCCUUGUCGGGUAAGUUCCGACCUGCACGAAUGGCGUAAUGAUGGCCAGGCUGUCUCCACCCGAGACUCAGUGAAAUUGAACUCGCUGUGAAGAUGCAGUGUACCCGCGGCAAGACGGAAAGACCCCGUGAACCUUUACUAUAGCUUGACACUGAACAUUGAGCCUUGAUGUGUAGGAUAGGUGGGAGGCUUUGAAGUGUGGACGCCAGUCUGCAUGGAGCCGGCCUUGAAAUACCACCCUUUAAUGUUUGAUGUUCUAACGUUGACCCGUGAUCCGGGUUGCGGACAGUGUCUGGUGGGUAGUUUGACUGGGGCGGUCUCCUCCUAAAGAGUAACGGAGGAGCACGAAGGUUGGCUAAUCCUGGUCGGACAUCAGGAGGUUAGUGCAAUGGCAUAAGCCAGCUUGACUGCGAGCGUGACGGCGCGAGCAGGUGCGAAAGCAGGUCAUAGUGAUCCGGUGGUUCUGAAUGGAAGGGCCAUCGCUCAACGGAUAAAAGGUACUCCGGGGAUAACAGGCUGAUACCGCCCAAGAGUUCAUAUCGACGGCGGUGUUUGGCACCUCGAUGUCGGCUCAUCACAUCCUGGGGCUGAAGUAGGUCCCAAGGGUAUGGCUGUUCGCCAUUUAAAGUGGUACGCGAGCUGGGUUUAGAACGUCGUGAGACAGUUCGGUCCCUAUCUGCCGUGGGCGCUGGAGAACUGAGGGGGGCUGCUCCUAGUACGAGAGGACCGGAGUGGACGCAU
Molecule: ribosomal RNA, 2303 nt
Filed under: Escherichia coli
Lineage: Bacteria; Pseudomonadati; Pseudomonadota; Gammaproteobacteria; Enterobacterales; Enterobacteriaceae
Description: partial 23S ribosomal RNA
Rfam family: Bacterial large subunit ribosomal RNA
Source: RNAcentral